GAUGAACGCUGGCGGCGUGCCUAAUACAUGCAAGUAGAACGCUGAAGGAGGAGCUUGCUCUUCUGGAUGAGUUGCGAACGGGUGAGUAACGCGUAGGUAACCUGCCUGGUAGCGGGGGAUAACUAUUGGAAACGAUAGCUAAUACCGCAUGACAACAGUUAUUGCAUGAUAACUGUUUAAAAGGGGCAACUGCUCCACUACCAGAUGGACCUGCGUUGUAUUAGCUAGUUGGUGAGGUAACGGCUCACCAAGGCGACGAUACAUAGCCGACCUGAGAGGGUGAUCGGCCACACUGGGACUGAGACACGGCCCAGACUCCUACGGGAGGCAGCAGUAGGGAAUCUUCGGCAAUGGACGGAAGGCUGACCGAGCAACGCCGCGUGAGUGAAGAAGGGUUUCGGAUCGUAAAGCUCUGUUGUAAGAGAAGAACGAGUGUGAGAGUGGAAAGUUCACACUGUGACGGUAUCUUAUCAGAAAGGGACGGCUAACUACGUG
This 495-nucleotide ribosomal RNA is filed under the name uncultured bacterium. RNAcentral's name for it is "partial 16S ribosomal RNA". It matches the Rfam family "Bacterial small subunit ribosomal RNA", at positions 28 to 507 of the family's 1533-position model. The record is from RNAcentral.